This 705-nucleotide long non-coding RNA is filed under the name Zonotrichia albicollis (white-throated sparrow). Its description in RNAcentral is "lncRNA (ENSZALG00000011461.1)". The record is from RNAcentral. Lineage: Eukaryota; Metazoa; Chordata; Aves; Passeriformes; Passerellidae.
GCAUGCUGUGAAGCCAGAAUAACUGGGUCUUACUUGGUAAGCAUGGAUCCCUCUGCAGAAUUUUCCUACUAUGGAAUGUCUGACUUUAUUUGUCUUUUUCUAAGGAGUCCUCUGCUGGCUUCCCUUAAAUAGGGCUGACUUGCUUAUUUCAAUCAGUUAAUUUUCUCCUUGUAAUUUAUUUAAUAUUAUAUUAAGAAAUAAUCGUGCUUGUAGCAUGUUUUCAUAAAGUAUCGUGUUUAUCUUAUAUCUCUUCAAGCAAAUAGAAAUUUUCUCCAUUAUACAUGGCAUUUUUUAAGCUUUUCACUGCAAGUUGACCCAAAGAACAUCAGCUUCAACAGAAGAAAUUGCUGGUACAGCUGCAUGAAAUUUAGACAGUGACCAGAUGUCAUCCCCACCGCUCAGUCUUUGCAGUUAGCCCUGCUGACAGCAUCUUCCUGACAGCGUUAUUCUGAGGAACAUUGUAACAUUGUCAAGUGCAGUAAAUCAGGUCUAAAAGGCCAGAAAAAAUGUAUUAAAUAAAACAGAGAACUGAACGACACAGAAAAUUGCCGAAAAGUUUUUUUUUUUCCUUCUUCCUUUUUUUUUUCCUGAAAAUUCUGGACAUCAGAAAAAGGUCUGAAGCAGAACUUGUAUUGCAGCAGCAACUUCACAUGUUGAAAAUUUCCAGUACAGAAAUGGAGCUGUACAAGCUGGGGAGAAAGUAGA